CCACCCACUUUGACAGAAUGAAGUAAAAAUGGCCCAAUACAGAGAAAAUUAUCAUAGGGCCUAGAUAUGGAUGACAUAGGUUUUUGAGGGAUUCCAUUUUUUUUU
RNAcentral lists this small nuclear RNA (105 nucleotides) under Mustela putorius furo (domestic ferret). The record is from RNAcentral. Lineage: Eukaryota; Metazoa; Chordata; Mammalia; Carnivora; Mustelidae.